CUACAAUGGCCGGUACAAAGAGAAGCGAGACUGUGAGGUGGAGCAAAACUCAAAAACCGGUCCCAGUUCGGACUGCAGGCUGAAACUCGCCUGCACGAAGUUGGAAUCGCUAGUAAUCGCGGAUCAGCAUGCCGCGGUGAAUACGUUCCCGGGCCUUGUACACACCGCCCGUCACACCAUGAGAGUCGGGAACACCCGAAGUCCGUAGCCUAACCGCAAGGGGGGCGCGGCCGAAGGUGGGUUCGAUAAUUGGGGUGAAGUCGUAACAAGGUAGC
This 275-nucleotide ribosomal RNA is filed under the name uncultured bacterium. RNAcentral's name for it is "partial 16S ribosomal RNA". It matches the Rfam family "Bacterial small subunit ribosomal RNA", at positions 1225 to 1500 of the family's 1533-position model. The record is from RNAcentral.